GACGAACCGUGCGAACGUUGUUCGGAUUCACUGGGCUUAAAGGGCGCGUAGGCGGCGGCUCAAGUCGGGGGUGAAAUCCUUCCGCUUAACGGGAGAAUUGCCUUCGAUACUGGGUCGCUGGAGGGGGAUAGGGGUGCGCGGAACUUCCGGUAGAGCGGUGAAAUGCGUAGAUAUCGGAAGGAACGCCGGUGGCGAAAGCGGCGCACUGGAUCCCUACUGACGCUGAGGCGCGAAAGCCAGGGGAGCAAACGGG
Molecule: ribosomal RNA, 253 nt
Filed under: uncultured bacterium
Lineage: Bacteria
Description: partial 16S ribosomal RNA
Rfam family: Bacterial small subunit ribosomal RNA
Source: RNAcentral